CUCAGCUUUAGUUAUGACAACAUUCAUAAUAACCUGAACGUUACAUCUAAGAGCAUCUGUAAGACAAUUAGUGCAAUUUACCGUUUAAACUAAAAAAAAAAAAAUACAGCUUCUGUCUGCAAAAAUAUACAGAUAUCAUCUAUGGAGCCGAAGAGCAACAGAAGGUCUGGAGGACGUCCAGAGGCACGAGCGUUUGAGGUGAACACACACCACUGCACCAGCACACACACACACAGUAACACACACCAGAGGGGGUUGCAGCGAUGCCCACCGUGGCCUCUGAUUGGCUGCAGGCCGACAGGUGACGCCGCCGCCACGGAGGCACGACGGACGCAGAGAAGCAGAAAAAGUUCACGUCUAAGUAGCGACAUCCAACGAAAACACAACAGAGUGAAGCAGCAACACGUUCUUCACUGCAGGGAUGGACCAUCAACCAGAAGGUCCUGAGAAGAUCCAGACCAUCAACCAGAAGGUCUUUAAAAGAACCAGACCAUCAACCAGAAGAACCUUAGAAGAACCAGACCAUCAACCAGAACAACUUUAGAAGAACCAGCUCAUCAACCAGAAGGUCUUUAGAAGAACCAGACCAUCAACCAGAAGGUCCUUAGAAGAACCAGAUCAUCAACCAGAAGGUCCUGGACGCUUAGAAGAACCAGAAACCGUUCAUGUCUGUUUGUUGUUAAUCUGAGAGAAUUUCUGACCAUUUUAAACAUUUCUGUCAAUGUUUUGUGUGUCUCUGUGUGGUUGUUUUGUGUCUUUUAGUGGUUGCUUUGUGUCUCUUUGUGGUUGGUUUGUGUCUUUUUGUGGUCGUUUUAUGUCUCUUUGUGGUUGUUUUGUGUGUUUUUGUUGUUGCUUUGUGUCUCUGUGGUUUUUUGUGCUAGUUUUGUCUCUAAUUUUAAGUCUCUCAGUGGUUGUUUGUCUUUGUGGUUGUUUUAUGUCUCUUUGUGGUUGUUUUGUAUCUCUUUGUGGUUGUUUUGUCUCACUUUUGUGGUUGUUUUGUGUGUCUUUGUGGCUGUUUUGUGUCUUUUUGCUGUCGUUUUGUUUCUCUUUGUAGUUGUUUUGUGCCUGUGGUCAUUCUACAUUUCUUUGUGGUUGUUUUGUGUCUUUGCGGUUGCUUUGCUGCUUAUUGUGAUCAUUUUAUGUUUAGUUCUUGUCACUUUUCAUCUAUGUGUUGCAGGUUUUUCUCUCUUUGUCGUCACUUUGUGGCUUUUUCACGUACAGCUGAUUCUCUGUGCGUCUGGACCUGUGCCGGUUCAUGAAUCCAUCCAUGCUCAGCUGACAGUUCGCUCAAAUGUGCACAAAAACAGGAAAAUUAAAAAUAUUUAGAUAUGAAAAUCUGCCUGAAUCGGAGGUUUUUG
Amphiprion ocellaris (clown anemonefish) is the source of this 1358-nucleotide long non-coding RNA. The record is from Ensembl. Lineage: Eukaryota; Metazoa; Chordata; Actinopteri; Pomacentridae.